This 112-nucleotide microRNA precursor is filed under the name Arabidopsis halleri subsp. gemmifera. RNAcentral describes it as "pre miRNA mir-166". It matches the Rfam family "mir-166 microRNA precursor family". From Rfam's summary of the family: This family represents the plant microRNA (miRNA) precursor mir-166. The record is from RNAcentral. Lineage: Eukaryota; Viridiplantae; Streptophyta; Magnoliopsida; Brassicales; Brassicaceae.
GUUGAGGGGAAUGUUGUCUGGAUCGAGGAUAUUAUACAUAUAUACAUGUGUAUAUAUGUUGAUACAAGUGAUCAUAGAGAGUAUCCUCGGACCAGGCUUCAUCCCCCCCAAC